CGAGAGGUUGUGCGGGUGAGCACCUCGCCAACCCGGUCAGGUCCGGAAGGAAGCAGCCGUAACGAGUUCUGCUCAGGCCGCGUGCCAGCCUCUCACUU
This 98-nucleotide signal recognition particle RNA is filed under the name Paracoccaceae bacterium. Its description in RNAcentral is "signal recognition particle sRNA small type". It matches the Rfam family "Bacterial small signal recognition particle RNA". From Rfam's summary of the family: The signal recognition particle (SRP) is a universally conserved ribonucleoprotein involved in the co-translational targeting of proteins to membranes. Lineage: Bacteria; Pseudomonadati; Pseudomonadota; Alphaproteobacteria; Rhodobacterales; Paracoccaceae. The record is from RNAcentral.